This is a non-coding RNA of Cyanistes caeruleus (blue tit), 8015 nucleotides long. NCBI's taxonomy places the organism in Eukaryota, Metazoa, Chordata, Aves, Passeriformes, Paridae. The record is from RefSeq and is a predicted model, not a curated record.
UUCUUGUCUGUCUCUUGCUGGGUGGUCCCUCCAUUCGCCCGUACAUCUUCCUCAAACACAAUUAACCAUUUAGAUGUUGCACAAAGGAAUAGCUUAUGCAUACAACACCAGUCGCUCGCUGCUCCGGCGCUGGGGGAGGGAGGCAAAUAAGAAGGCAGCUUCUUUUAUUUUCUACUAAAAACAAAAACAAGAAAAUCCCUUUUCCCUUCCCAAACUAUCCCAUUUUUCCUUGAAUUGUAAAGGCACUGAUCCAAGCUCAUCAGCUGUCUUGGUCCUCAGUCCAACAAUCCCCUUGCCGUCCCCCAUCCCCUGAAAUUCAACAUUAGCAUUUUAAAAGCCUAAAACAUACAAGUUUAUUUAGACUCAAGCUCUCCCAAGCUCUUGCUUUCCAUAUUUAUAUACACACGUAUUUUAACGUAUAUAAAAUGUCUGUCUAUAGGUCCUGGAAGGAAGUUCCCGUCUGCCGGCCCGUCUGGGAGGCACAGGCGCGGCUGUGGACCUUGGCUCCUGGGAGAUGGAGUGCAAACCGACAGGAUCCAGAAUCAGUCUCCUGGCUGAGAGGGAGCGAGCCUCGGUGGGCAGGCUGCUGGGGUGGGGUGGGGGUGCUGGGUGCUUGUGAGGGAAUCUCCACAUCCCCAAAUUAACUCUGCAGGUGGCCCAGUGAGAAGGGCCCUGCGCUCUGCGCUCCCCCGCGGAUGGGACGGGCUGGGUCGGGGCACAGUGGGCAGCCUGCAAUGCCGAAGGCCCCAGCCCCGCCCGCCCGCUGCAAGAAUCAAUCCUUUAAAACAGAUAACCAAAGGCCACAGGAGUGGCUGUGUGUGACGGGAGGGCAGCACUGCGGUGUCCUGGGGCUGGAUUACACCACACACUGUGCGACGUGCGUCUGUCACACCACUGCUGCCGGCACAAGCGGCUCCUCUGCGAGCCCCACGUGGGGCUUGAUCUCACUCUGCCCCUCACAAGACAUUGGGCAGGGACCACAGCAGCCAUUACUGGCCCUCACUGGGGACUUGGGCCAGCGUGAAGACAGUAAGGCACCUCAGGAAAACAAUGGUAUUCCCCAGACCUGUGGGGUUUUAUUAGGAAAAUUCUCAUCUCUGGACCAGCAAAGUCCAAAGGGUGGACAGGGGCAUAGUGAAAAGCACUCUUCCCAGGCAGCCAGAGUAAGGACAGUGGGGUGCAGAAACCAGCAAGGAAGCCAGCAGGAGCAUGGCUGUGCACAAUCAGCCUUGGAGACUGAAGGCAAUAAAAGAUUGUCAAGUCUUUCUGAUCCCAACACAGAGAGGUUCAUGAGAGUCCCACUGCUAGGGCUGCACACACAGUGUCAGCUGGAUAGGUGACUGGGGGAGCCAGACCUGUGCACCUGAGACCAUAUGACUGCUCAGGUUCUGCUCUCAUCUUUGUGCCCAAAAAAUUGUCCCAAAAGCAAGAUCAGAGCUGGGUGCAAAAUUUUUGUCUCCAUUUGAACCACCGUGGGGGUUGGAAGCCCACCAUCCCUGGGAAUGGCUGGCUGUUUGUCUUCACCUCAUGUGGCUCUCUUCCAGGGCUGCCAGGAAGAUGGGAGCCAUCCGCUUUGGUUUGACUGCAGAAGGGAUCAGAUGAGCUGCUGCUUCCUGAGAGAUCUCAAUAGCCACCUACAAAAGCAAACACAAACUGCUGAGGGAGGUGAGCCACGGCUCUGGGUGGCUUCAGCUGCCCAACAAAUGUGUCUUAAAAAUGGGCUUGGCUGCAAAAAUCCUGGCAAGUACCUGGCUGCGAGUGAGGGGGCAGAGCUUCAGGUGCCCCUGUCAUGGUGUGCCAGGGGGGAAAGACCCACAGGAAGAAGUGUGGCCAGGUGUGCAUGCACACUGCUCUGCACCCACACCAACCCUGCUGCCCUGGUCACAGGAAAAGCCUUUUGGGAGCAGCUGGCAAAACACCACGCAGGGAAAACCGCAAGCCAGUGGUCCUGCUGGCCAUCACGGCAAACCUCUGCUUUACCCCAUGCAGAUCCAGCAUGUGACAAACUGCAAGAGCCUCUUCACAGCAACCCUGGCGUUACAUCUGCCAAGAAAGUGUUCAGGACAAGUCUGUCCAGAAAGAGCCAGCACCUACGGAGCUGGAGAACUUUCAUCUCCUUCAGAGAAAUGUUGCCUAUAUAGCACCACUUUGAUGCCAGUUAACACCAUGAUGGCCACAAGCUGUAAUGCUCAGCUGGCUGGGUGUGACAGAGCAGCUUAUUUGUUUCUGAGAGGUGCUCCAUUCCUCAAAGUUGGUGAGCAGAUGUCUCUAUGACCUGGGACCAAACAGUCAUGUCCAAAACUACCUGGCAACAGAACUCCAUGCCCUCAGUCACCUCCCCAGUUUUCUCAAUGACUGUAACAUCACUAGGUUUGUGAAGUUGCCUGACCCAACCCAUCACAUGCUCACCUGGUGAUGACAGCAGCAUGGAGACCAGGUGCUUUACAAUCCUGGCACAGGCCCUGACCACAAGGCUGUGCAUUUCACAUUAGCACGAGCAACUCAUCUCAGAAACACAGGCCCUGUAGCAACUCCUGUGACUCCAUUCCUGAACCUCCUCCAAGCAGACUACCUAUCAUGUUGAUUUCUAUGAUGUGAAUAAGACCCUGGCUACCAUCCAGUGAGAACAGCAUCCUCCAUGAUCCUAAAUGUGCAGAGUUGGGAUGAGUCCUGUCACAUACCUUGCUGCAGAGAUGGGGAAACCAAGGCAGCAGUGAGUUAGAGAGUUCAGGCAGCCAAAGCCACAUGGGAAAUUGGAGCCUGCAUUCCUGCAUCUCUCAUCCCUGUGCCUGUUUCAUCUCCUCCUUGAUCCCUGUGGCCCAGAUUCCCCAAAGUGGGCACACACGACCCUGAAAAAUACUGAGACAAGGAUGACAAGGACAAUCAAGAAGAAAGACCAGUUUUCAUACUACAAUGCAGACUAGGAUCUGCACCCUGGAAGAUACUUCCGAAGCAGCUGUGAUCAAGAUAGGAGUCAUUGAAGGACAGAAAACGCAGCUAAGAUGUAUCUAAAAAUACUAACACCCAUUGAAACCAGCUGAUUGGGAAGAGGGUAUAAGCAAGAUCUAUAAUCCUGGAGAGAUGCAGGUACAACGUGCAAAUGGGAGCAUAUGAGAGUGUGUGCCUGUGUCUGUGUCUGUGUGUCCGCUACGUGCCUGCAUCUGAGAGACAGAGCCUGACUUUGGGGUGAGUUUUUUUGAAAGUGAGAGAACAAGAGCAAAAGGAGUAGUGGCCAAGGAGGCAUGGGGGGAUUACAAGGAUUUAGGUCUUUAAACUGCAGACCACCUAACAAGAUCACUCUGAAAUGCCACUAAUUUCAGUUAAGGCCACAGACCUCCCUUCCUCUGCCCUCCCUCUCUCCCCCAUUGUAAACAACUAAUCCCAGCAGAAAACAACAGAGAGCAAAAUGUACACACAUUCUGCAACAUUCCAGGUCCUUCUUUAUCUUUUAUUUAUUUUUCUAAAAGGUCAGCGUAUGUAUGGAGGGAGGGGGGAGGGGAAGAAAGCCAAAAAAACCUCAAGUCCAUCUCUUGUGUGGGCUUGAAGGAAGCUGGGAGAAAGCAAAGUCCAAGAGCACACAAUAUGGAGCUUUUAUAGCACAGCAAUUCCUGGACUCAGCUUACUUUCCCCUCCCUCUAUUUGUGGCAAAGUCACAUAGCUUUAAACCAAAGGACAGGGUGGUCGAUUACAUCUGAAAGAAAUGUAAAGAAUUGAGAAAGAAUUCCAUCUCCUGUCGAAAUUAUAAAUAAGGAAGUAUUAAUCCCAGAGACAAGCUGAUUUAUGCAGCCUUGGAACUGCUGACUUUCAGCCCUAGUAUCGGUCUAUAAAUCAAACUCUUAAAUCAAGUGUGUCAAUCGCUGCAGCACUGUGAUACUCAGGCAAAGCAAAGCACCUACCACUGAAAGCAGGAAGAUUGCCAGGGGACUGAGGUGCCAUACCCUCCUUAAUUUUCUAAAGUGUAAAUCUGAGAUCAAACAUCCUUUGGGGGAAUGGGAAAUCAAAAUACGCAGUGCUCAGCACACCGGGAGCAGGCAGCAGGAGACCAAGACACAACCCCCUAAUUACAGGCUACCCACUGAUUAUUUAGGACUCUGUGAUUAAAGUGAUGAACGCUCCUGGGAGAAAGGGGCUUAAGUAACUGAGGUCAAGACCUCAACUGCAGCUCUCGCCCUGGUUGUGCAAGCUUAGGAAGGUAUGAAUGUCACAGGUUUGCCUUAUAGCAAAUCUCCUGAAAUGCCAAUGGAAGUUAUCCAAGCCUGGUACUUAAUCCAAUUGUGCCAAAACCCUGACAUAAUCUCUGUUGGGCAGCAAGGCAAAUGAGGUGUCUAUAAUGCAAUGCUUAAAACUGUAGACUCACAAGAAAGCCUGGAGCACAAAGCCUAGGACAGCCUGUUGGUACCGCUCUGCCGUGCCAAGAAGUCGGGUCUCUUGUGCCUCCAGAUGAGCAACAAAACAGAGAGACUGAUGCGGGAGUUAAAAGCAAAGGGUGACAUGCCUAAGCAGCUACUUUGCUGACUGAGAGGUAACAGAUGUGAAUUCGCCUGGGAGCAACAUCCCCUUCUGCCCUGACCAAGAAGAUAACAGUCACCACAGGCACCUUAACAACACUAAGAGGUGGCAAGGAGUCAGGAAGAGCUUUAAAACAUACCAGCAACCCCUGAAGGAAUCCCCUGCUAGCUAGUGAACUGGUGGCUGGGACUCACGAUCACAGGGAUGAGGCACAAAGACCAUGGAAAAACAGGGGAGAGGCAAAAAACACAAUUAGGAAACUUGGGAACCUAAAACGUUGCCUUUGCCAACAUGCUUUACACACCAAUACAUUUUUACACCAACACACUCUUACACAUGAACACAAGAACUGUGGGCACUAUGAAUCUCACAUUAUAUACUCAAGUAAAUACCAAAGCCUGCAAUAGAUGCCAGCAGUACAUGCUAUAAUUUAUAGAUACAUUUCAAAGCAAGCAUUCGCAAGUGCAUUUGGGCUUUGAUCUGCUGUUUUUCCCCUUGGGGGUAACAAAAUCAUUCUACCAACCCCUCUAAAUUCUUUGCCCGUCUCUGAGGGUGUUUUCACUAAAGAACUUGUUUCAUGUCUCUUUUCUAGCCAAGCUCAUCACUGUGGUAUGGCUCCUUUACACUUCUUCCCCACACCCUAAACAUUUUGCAUUACAUACUGCAUAUACUUGCCAGCACUCGUAUUUUCCAGUGAAAGUUCAACUGACCUUAAAGGAUUGCCUCAAACCUACCUUAAUGUGUUAAUUUAUUAAGUGAAACUUAGGGUGCGGGAGGUCGCCAGGAAGGUCAUGCCUCACCUCUGAAACUUCAGCUACAUCCAGCUGAUCUUGGAACACACAAAUUGGUGGGCUUUUAUGUAGCCGCAAGCUCGGGGUUGCACACUUCAGCAAAAGUACACUGCAAGGAGUUUACACCAGGAAACCCCUCACACAGGAAAAUUGACAACCCUCUGGAUUCUCUUUUGCAGAGUCAAAGGGCCAGGUCCUACACAAUUUUACAGACACUUCCCCGAGGGCCAGGAAAAGCUACUUGUGUCUAUGUGAAGGAAACAAAGCAGGAAAAUUUUAUGUUCACUACCACCUCUGGGUUUGCUUCACUUUCCCCCCAGCUCUCACAGUCAGACUGAGGUAACAGGCACAGUAAAAGGACACCUUCUCUGGGGUAUUUGAAGCACAGUUCUGGGUUGAGGGCUGUGGCCCUUUGUAAGACAUUACUGGUUAAGUCAUUUUCCAUAUCAUCUGAGCUAGGUUGACGUGGAAAAGUUUUUUGUAAAUGUCAUCCAGGGCUUCUUAGAUCUAAGCUGAACUUAGAUCUAAGUUAGAUCUUAGCUGAACCCUUGUCUCCUCAGGAACUUAAGAGGCACACUGUGAUAAUUUCUUCCUCUUCUGUACCCAGGUGGGGGAAGAUUUUAAAGAGCAUCAGAGACAUUCACACCCAGAUUCCCACCAAAAUCCAACAGCAAUCAGCUGCUUGUGAAAAAUCUCCAUACUCUUUGAUUAGACCCAUGUGGUUACCAGGAGACAGAAGCUAAUUUAUAGCUCUGAAGUCAGACAUAACCCUGUCCACCUGAAGCAGCAGAUCAGCAGAAUGAGAGGAGAUAUUUUAAAAUGCUACUUUUCAGGGCUCAUCUGUGCUUUAAGUUCAACAUUUGAUGUACAAGAUGUUUGUAAAACUGGGACGAGCUCCCUGCACUAUUAGGGAGUCUGCAUCUGAGAUUAAAGAACAGGUGAUUUCUUUAAGACAGAUUGAUGUACCAGGAAGCUAGCCAGAAGAAAAAAUUUUUGGAGGAGCUGCUAGUAAUAAUGUUUCAGACACUCACAAGAUAACAGGGAGACAAGGAAUCAAUUGGCAGUGUGAGACAAAGCAUCCAGGAAACAAGAGCCAUCUUAAAAAAUGGUUCAAGAUACAAAAUGUUUGGGAAUUUCAGCAUCAGCAGAUCUUUAUUUUCAGCUUUGCAAGCUAUGGUGCUGAAAACAACAUCACCUCCUCACUCUUUUUCAUGUGGUUAUGUACUGUAAAAUAUGUUGCCUUGGCAGUAGGAUCAUUCCUUUGUACUGCCAUUGUCCAAGGGGAAAAAGACUACUUAUGCACUGAACCUCUAUAAAGACUCAAUUCCACCCUGGUUUUAAUUAGAACUUUCUUCAAACCACUGACUGUUUCUACAUCAGGUGAUGAUUUGGCACUAUUGAGGAAACAACCAAUAAAUUUCACAAUCAAUCUGCAGUUAGUAGUCAAUCUAGCUUGUCUUGCUUGUUGUUUGCUUCCUUUGUACAUUUUCUCAUAGAAAGGAGCAAUAAAUUGAAGAUAUGUGGUAAACUAGAGUAGCCUUGACCAGUCCCACAUGGUCUCUCUCCAGUCCCCUCACUGAGCAGAAUUACAGCAUCUGUUCACCUACUUUCACACAGGUAGCCAGAACACCUUUAACAAAAUACAGUUCAUAAUUUACUGUCUUCACACGACUGAAGAAGGACAAUUCCAGUUUUGGCGGACAAAACAUUUUCAGUGCCAGUUCUUUCUUCACAUAUCUGGGUACUUUAGUCCUUCAUAUUAAUUUUUACUCCAGCCUAUUCUUUCUGCCCAGGGAGUCAGAACUCCCCAAGGUUUACCACAUCUUCCCGUGGGACUCUUCUAACUUUCCCUCUGUCUUCAACAUUCACAUCACCUCCCUGCAGUUUUUAACUUGAAGCCUUUGGUGUCACCUCCCUUGCAUUCCGAGUUUCCUGAUGCUGCAACACUUUGUGAUUUGCUGGCAUCAUGGUGCAGCCUGACCCAAAACAUAUCUGCCUGUCUUUUUAAGCCCUUCCCUUUCCAAAAGGUGACCUUAGCUGUAUGCCACAUGAGGAACUUCAGCAGUUCAGUUCAGUUCUUUUGGGUAGUAUGUUUGUAUGUGGUUGCAACAAAAUGCUGUAAACUUCACAAAGAUACAAGGCUAUUGUUCAGUGAUUCCUUCCCCUGCAAAAACUCAAUAACCUCAGUCACACCUGCAACCCUACUCUUAGAGUUCCUGAACCAACUGCCCACUGCAUCUGGUUAUCUGACAACUGUCUGCUGCAAACUUCUUUCUGGAGGGAACUUUUUCCUUUUCCCACUGCUAAUCACGGUCUGGAACACAGUUUUUAUGGCAAAAUUACAGGUGAGACAGGUUUAGCUUCCUUGGUUGCUCUGUGAAGAUCUGGUACCUUCUUGCUGUGGAGGUGAAAUCUAGAAGUAAAUCUUGGACCUUUUGCUCUCUCUGAUAAUCAGAGAAGCCUAUUUAUGAUCUCCAUAAAAACAUCAUUUGAUGCAGAAUGCUUUCCUGUAUUUCCAUGAAAAAAGAAAAGCAGCAAAAUACUUCAUUUCAGACUAUAUCUACCACAGAGUCCUUAUGGUACUGACUACCACCACAUCAACAAGACCUUUUCAAAGCAUGGCUUACAGCAGACUUAGUAUUUAUCUGAGCUUUUCACAUUUGCCUUCUCAACUAACCUCUAAGUAGUCCAAAGACCAUAUUUUUUUCCCCUACU